This 253-nucleotide ribosomal RNA is filed under the name uncultured prokaryote. Its description in RNAcentral is "partial 16S ribosomal RNA". It matches the Rfam family "Bacterial small subunit ribosomal RNA", at positions 524 to 776 of the family's 1533-position model. The record is from RNAcentral.
UACAGAGGUCUCAAGCGUUGUUCGGAUUCAUUGGGCGUAAAGGGUGCGUAGGUGGCGCCAUAAGUCAGGUGUGAAAUCUCGGGGCUUAACUCCGAAACUGCAUUUGAUACUGUGGUGCUUGAGGACUGGAGAGGAGACUGGAAUUUACGGUGUAGCAGUGAAAUGCGUAGAGAUCGGGAGGAAGGCCGGUGGCGAAGGCGGCGCUCUGGAACGUUUCUGACGCUGAGGCUCGAAAGCGUGGGGAGCAAACAGG